This 253-nucleotide ribosomal RNA is filed under the name uncultured bacterium. RNAcentral describes it as "partial 16S ribosomal RNA". It matches the Rfam family "Bacterial small subunit ribosomal RNA", at positions 524 to 776 of the family's 1533-position model. The record is from RNAcentral.
UACAGAGGGUGCUAGCGUUAAUCGGAAUUACUGGGCGUAAAGGGCGCGUAGGCGGUUUAAUAAGUUGGUUGUGAAAUCCCUGGGCUUAACCUAGGAAUGGCAAACAAGACUGUUAAGCUGGAGUGCGGUAGAGGGUAGUGGAAUUUCCGGUGUAGCGGCGAAAUGCGUAGAUAUCGGAAGGAACACCAGUGGCGAAGGCGGCUACCUGGACUGACACUGACGCUGAGGCGCGAGAGCGUGGGGAGCAAACAGG